CAGUCGAGCGAUGAAAUCUUAACAGAACCCUUCGGGGCGAAGAUAAGAUGGAUUAGCGGCGGACGGGUGAGUAACACGUGAGUAACCUGCCUUUUACACAGGGAUAGCCUCGGGAAACCGGGAUUAAAACCUGAUGAAACUAUCAAACCACAUGAUUAAGAAAGUUAAAACUCCGGUGGUAAAAGAUGGACUCGCGUCCCAUUAGCUAGUUGGUGAAGGUAACGGCCCACCAAGGCAACGAUGGGUAGCCGGCCUGAGAGGGUGAACGGCCACAUUGGAACUGAGAAACGGUCCAAACUCCUACGGGAGGCAGCAGUGGGGAAUAUUGCACAAUGGGGGAAACCCUGAUGCAGCGACGCCGCGUGAGCGAAGAAGGCCUUCGGGUCGUAAAGCUCUUUUAUAUGGGAAGAUAAUGACGGUACCAUAAGAAAAAGCCCCGGCUAACUACGUGCCAGCAGCCGCGGUAAUACGUAGGGGGCUAGCGUUGUCCGGAAUCACUGGGCGUAAAGGGUUCGCAGGCGGCAAUGCAAGUCAGAUGUAAAAGGCAAAGGCUCAACCUUUGUAAGCAUCUGAAACUGUAUAGCUUGAGAAGUGUAGAGGCAAGUGGAAUUUUUAGUGUAGCGGUGAAAUGCGUAGAUAUUAAAAAGAAUACCGGUGGCGAAGGCGACUUGCUGGGCACAAUCUGACGCUGAGGAACGAAAGCGUGGGGAGCAAACAGGAUUAGAUACCCUGGUAGUCCACGCCGUAAACGAUGAGUGCUAGGUGUCGGUAUAAAUCGGUGCCGCAGUUAACACAAUAAGCACUCC
RNAcentral lists this ribosomal RNA (806 nucleotides) under uncultured bacterium. Its description in RNAcentral is "bacterial SSU rRNA". It matches the Rfam family "Bacterial small subunit ribosomal RNA", at positions 59 to 870 of the family's 1533-position model. The record is from RNAcentral.